UACGUAGGGUGCAAGCGUUAUUCGGAAUUACUGGGUGUAAAGGGAGUGUAGGCGGGAGAGUAAGUUAGGAGUGAAAUGUACGGGCUCAACCUGUAACGUGCUUUUAAUACUGCUUUUCUUGAGUAUUGGAGAGGUAAAUGGAAUUCCUGGUGUAGCGGUGGAAUGCGUAGAUAUCAGGAAGAACACCAGUUGCGAAGGCGGUUUACUGGCCAAAUACUGACGCUGAGGCUCGAAAGGUAGGGGAGCAAACAGGAUUAGAUACCCUGGUAGUCCUACCCGUAAACGAUGGAUACUAGUUGCCGGGAGUAAUUUCGGUGACGAAGCUAACGCAUUAAGUAUCCCACCUGGGAAGUACGCUCGCAAGAGUG
Molecule: ribosomal RNA, 368 nt
Filed under: uncultured prokaryote
Description: bacterial SSU rRNA
Rfam family: Bacterial small subunit ribosomal RNA
Source: RNAcentral